AGACAAUCCGUCUUUUAUCUCACUGACGGUGUUUUUAAAACUGAUUCAUUUACAUGUUGUCCUCAGGGCUUAUGGACUGCUAGAGGGAUUCUGACAACAUUUUUCAGGACUUAAUUCCGUAUAUUUGCUCUCCAUUAACACACAGUUUAUAUUAGUGAACCAGGACUGAAGCAGCUGCUUAUUGAGAAGAAAGUGAGCUGAAGAAUCUUUGCCGCCUCUAAAAAAGGAUCAGUUUGAAGAAUCUCAUGACAAGUUACAGCAACAGAGGAUUUUUCAACCAUGCCUACCAUGACAGCGAGACUCUGGAGAUGGAUAGAAGGUAUUCAAGUAAAAGCCACCACACUAACCCCUAUGCCAGCCAAGACCCGGCCUCGUGGGGUGAGUUUCCUGAUCGGACCCCCAGUGAUGGUGCUGUAGGGAGGGCACCAUGGCAGGGGGAGAGCUGGAGGCAGACAGGAGAAAACACCCCCAUGGGCCCCAUCACCACACGGCAGCAUAACCUGAGUUAGUGGACCCAGUCUAGAUUUGUUUUAAAAAUUAUUCAGUCUUUCUUUGCUCAUAUACUAAUGCAUUGUAUGGAAGAAAAACAUCAAUCACUGCCAGACAAUGCAUGUUUUGUACGCGUCUCUAUGUGUUGCUAAGGGACACUUCUGUUGACACGUCCUCUCACUUUUUAAAAACACCUUUCAGAUCGCAGUACAUUUCACACGGACUCACAAAAUGAUCCAUCUCCACCUUUUCAACUUCCUUCUGCAAUGUCAGGUAAUGGUUUAACCAACUUUUCUCUGUAGACAGUAGCUUCCUUAUACAUUUGCAUUUCUUUUUCUUCCUAAGCUCUUACACUGGAGACAUGGUAGUGCUAAAUACACAUGAAGCUGUAAAGACAUUUUAAAAAAUAAGUAUUCAGAUCAUGUUGACCUGUUGACUUUAAUUACCAGCCAGCUUAUAAAUUCACAACAAAUAAUUAUUAAUGGAGGCUGUCGACAACAGAACAAUACACGACAAGGAGGACAAGGAAGGUUAAUGAAAAUUAAACAGAGGGCAGGGGAUUGUUGGAGUAGUGUGACCUCCAUCUGACAUAAACUACAGUAUUGUAUGCCAG
Molecule: long non-coding RNA, 1102 nt
Organism: Amphiprion ocellaris (clown anemonefish)
Lineage: Eukaryota; Metazoa; Chordata; Actinopteri; Pomacentridae
Source: Ensembl